This 1563-nucleotide long non-coding RNA is filed under the name Nicotiana tabacum (common tobacco). RNAcentral's name for it is "long non-coding RNA (NTAB_LNC010441)". The record is from RNAcentral. Lineage: Eukaryota; Viridiplantae; Streptophyta; Magnoliopsida; Solanales; Solanaceae.
UUAUGAGUUUUUUGGUGCCGAGCAGGUUCAAAAUGUUCAAGGAGCCUAAGCAUGUUGAUGCUCAUCUUUCUUAGUUGGCGAGUCCCCAAGACUGACAACCCGUGGGGUCUAUGACUAUGGAGGUCGUAGUGACUCAAAUGGCUUAUGAGCUAUACGGGUAAGUUUUGUUGGAACCCUUUUUAUUUAAUUUUUCCGGUCAUUAAUAUGACACAUUAUUUCCCUUUUGCAGCACAUUGUGCUUACUUCAGGGACCUUAAAAAACAUUUGAGAGGGCGUGGCUAUGUCCAAGGAGGUGGUGAGGUAUAAUCGAGCAUUGAGGGCCGAAAACGAGAAGUUCAAAGAAUAAAGGGGAUCCUUUUUGGCCAGGACCGAAGCCGUGGAGAGGAGUGCCUAGAAAGGAUGGCUGAGUUUUCGGAGAGUGAGGCGGCUCGACUAUCCUAACUCAACAAGGGCAACUAUAGGCUUUUUGUUUCCCAAAUCGAGUCUUGAAAGCAUAUGAGGAGGUUCGAUUGAGGGAAGAGUGUUCCCGUUUAUCAGCCGAGAUAUAGGGUUUAAGGUCGGAGUUGGCCUUGACUGAGAAGAUAUCCCGGGCCAACAACACCGAUCGGGAAACCCUCCAAGUGUCUUUCAAAGACUUGCAGAAAGAAGUGAUCGUAAGAUAAGCUUGGGCCAUCAAAGAGACUCGCUUGCACACUCUUCAUGAGGUUCACACUAUUGCGGUGGAUUUUCAACUUGAGGUUCCCCAAUUAGAGGAAGAGGCAAGGGCUCUUGGUCGAUGACUUUGUCUCCCCUAUGCGGAUAUGCGAGGUCUUACCUAUGAUGAAGAUAAGGUGAGGACGAUAUUGAAGAUGACAAAGUGGGGGAAGUGACUCCUAUUCCCGAUCAGCCGGUCCUUUCUGGUGCUGUUGAUACGAAUUCUCCCUCUAUUUCCGGCACAAAUGUCAAUGAUUAGUUAUAGUUUUAGGCUUUGGAUUUUUGUGCUUCUUUUCUGUUCCAUAUUUAGGGCCCUUUGUACAAACAGAAUAUUUGAUGUAAUCCUGUUUGUUCCUUCAACUAUUUUUUCUGUAUUAGUGUUAUAGGUCAUAUAGGCUUCGAAGCUUUUAGACUUGAUCACUUUUGGGAUGAUUGCACAGUAUCGUGAUGAGCCUCAUUUUGGUGCGAAAAAGGAUGACGUGUCAUCCUAUUUGGGCACAAGAGUGAAAAUAUGGUCUCAUAAAGAUUGUAGAUUCCUUCUAUCAAGAGCUGAACAAAUAUAUAUAUAUAUAUAUAUUCUGCGAAACAUAUGAAUAAUUAGAAGAAAAGAAUUUCCUUUAUUUUAUAUCCAUCAUAUCAACGUUGGGUAGAUCCAAGCACCGUAUUACAUAGAUAAUCUUGACCGCUCUAACCGGAUCGUACAUACAGGCAUGCCAUGCUUAAGAAAUAACUUUUCUUGAAGGUCUAAUAAGAUUCAAAAGACUCAAAAUUCGGCAUAGAAAUUGGUCUUCAUAUACUUUGCUUUCAAAAUGGGGGGUUGCCAUUGGUUUUCGUAGACUUUGCUUUUGCCCAUGGUAUAUAGUCUCCCCC